RNAcentral lists this ribosomal RNA (578 nucleotides) under uncultured bacterium. Its description in RNAcentral is "bacterial SSU rRNA". It matches the Rfam family "Bacterial small subunit ribosomal RNA", at positions 102 to 666 of the family's 1533-position model. The record is from RNAcentral.
ACGGGUGAGUAACACGUGGGCAACCUGCCUGUAAGACUGGGAUAACUUCGGGAAACCGAAGCUAAUACCGGAUAGGAUCUUCUCCUUCAUGGGAGAUGAUUGAAAGAUGGUUUCGGCUAUCACUUACAGAUGGGCCCGCGGUGCAUUAGCUAGUUGGUGAGGUAACGGCUCACCAAGGCAACGAUGCAUAGCCGACCUGAGAGGGUGAUCGGCCACACUGGGACUGAGACACGGCCCAGACUCCUACGGGAGGCAGCAGUAGGGAAUCUUCCGCAAUGGACGAAAGUCUGACGGAGCAACGCCGCGUGAGUGAUGAAGGCUUUCGGGUCGUAAAACUCUGUUGUUAGGGAAGAACAAGUACAAGAGUAACUGCUUGUACCUUGACGGUACCUAACCAGAAAGCCACGGCUAACUACGUGCCAGCAGCCGCGGUAAUACGUAGGUGGCAAGCGUUAUCCGGAAUUAUUGGGCGUAAAGCGCGCGCAGGCGGUUUCUUAAGUCUGAUGUGAAAGCCCACGGCUCAACCGUGGAGGGUCAUUGGAAACUGGGGAACUUGAGUGCAGAAGAGAAAAGCGGAA